GACGAACGCUGGCGGUGUGCCUCACACAUGCAAGUCGAGCGGACGAAGAUUGAAGCUUGCUUCAGUCCUAGUUAGCGGCGGACGGGUGAGUAACACGUAGGAAUCUGCCUUCAGGCGGGGGACAACGGAACGAAAGUUGCGCUAAUACCCACUAUGCGAGUAAUCGUAAAGGAGCAAUCACCGGAAGAUGAGCCUGCGUCCGAUUAGCUAGUUGGUAGGGUAAAAGACCUACCAAGGCUACGAUCGGUAGUUGGUCUGAGAGGAUGAUCAGCCACAAUGGAACUGAGACACGGUCCAUACUCCUACGGGAGGCAGCAGUGGGGAAUUUUACGCAAUGGGCGAAAGCCUGACGUAGCGACACCGCGUGAGCGAAGAAGCCUUUUGGGGUGUAAAGCUCUGUCAGCUGGAACGAACACAAUGACGGUACCAGCAGAGGAAGCAUCGGCUAACUACGUG
RNAcentral lists this ribosomal RNA (456 nucleotides) under uncultured bacterium. Its description in RNAcentral is "bacterial SSU rRNA". It matches the Rfam family "Bacterial small subunit ribosomal RNA", at positions 28 to 507 of the family's 1533-position model. The record is from RNAcentral.